CAGACCCCUACUGGACCGGAGGAGUUGGGACCAACACGGACUGCUCCUUGUGGAACAAUGACCAGGAUCAGCUGUGUUAUUCGUGCGGCUCUUGCAAAGCCGGUGUGCUAGCCAGCCUCCGGCACAGCUGGAGGAAGGUGUUAGUCAUAAACAUUGUCAUACUGAUCCUCCUGGUGAUUGCCUAUGUGAUCGCCUGUGCCGCGUUCAGGAACGACAAACGCAUCGACAACGACGAGCCCUACGGCGAAGCCCGGAUGACCAAGUCACAGCCUAGUAGGCUCCAGUUCUAGGCCUUUAUGUCAUUUUGAUAAAUGUAAUUGACUGGUUUGUUUGGUAUUGUUUAAUAGCUUUGAAGGGUUGGUUGUAAGUAAUGUGCCAGUGGCAAAUCCUCUUUUCCUUGAUUGCUCUUCAGGUUUUCUUUUGGGAAUUGAAGCGAGGACAUUGUCGAUGGGAAGGAGGUGUAGUGGCAGGAAAAUUGAAGUCGUAAGAUGGAUGUGUAGGAGUAUUGUCGAGACUUAUCACUGUGAUGAGUAUGAUUUAUGACAUAUGUAAUACAAUGAAGAUUAGAUUUCUGUGCA
Eucalyptus grandis is the source of this 578-nucleotide long non-coding RNA. RefSeq lists it as uncharacterized. The transcript is spliced from 2 exons. Lineage: Eukaryota; Viridiplantae; Streptophyta; Magnoliopsida; Myrtales; Myrtaceae. The record is from RefSeq and is a predicted model, not a curated record.